AAUGUAUAAAAUUUACUCUUUCAUUCUUUAUUCACCUGUUAAUACAAGAAAUAAAAUGAACAUUCGAUAACCAUUUCAAAACAAGACCAAAACCUCGAUCCAACGUCGAGUAAUCAUUUUUCAAAACCUAACAGAACCAGCACGUAUUCAUCCACCCUUUUUGUAAGUCGAUUGCUUUAUGCAUCGCCAUCAACCUUGUAAGUCGAUUGCUUUAUGCAUCGCCAUCAACCUUGUAAGUCGAUUG
RNAcentral lists this long non-coding RNA (244 nucleotides) under Lathyrus oleraceus (garden pea). Its description in RNAcentral is "Pisum sativum (pea) long non-coding RNA (PSAT_LNC041812)". The record is from RNAcentral. Lineage: Eukaryota; Viridiplantae; Streptophyta; Magnoliopsida; Fabales; Fabaceae.